UACGUAGGGACCAAGCGUUGUCCGGAAUCAUUGGGCGUAAAGAGCGUGUAGGCGGCCUGUUAAGUCUUGCGUGAAAUCUCGGGGCUCAACCGUGGAGGGUCAUUGGAAACUGGGGGACUUGAGUACAGAAGAGAAGAGUGGAAUUCCACGUGUAGCGGUGAAAUGCGUAGAGAUGUGGAGGAACACCAGUGGCGAAGGCGACUCUUUGGUCUGUAACUGACGCUGAGGCGCGAAAGCGUGGGGAGCAAACAGG
RNAcentral lists this ribosomal RNA (253 nucleotides) under uncultured bacterium. Its description in RNAcentral is "partial 16S ribosomal RNA". It matches the Rfam family "Bacterial small subunit ribosomal RNA", at positions 524 to 776 of the family's 1533-position model. The record is from RNAcentral.